GAUGAACGCUAGCGGCAGGCUUAACACAUGCAAGUCGAGGGGUAUUGGUUUUCGGACCAAGAGACCGGCGCACGGGUGCGUAACGCGUAUGCAAUCUACCUUUUGCAGAGGGAUAGCCCAGAGAAAUUUGGAUUAAUACCUCAUAGUAUAGUACUUUGGCAUCAAGGAACUAUUAAAGUCACAACGGCAAAGAUGAGCAUGCGUCCAUUAGCUAGUUGGUAAGGUAACGGCUUACCAAGGCUACGAUGGGUAGGGUCCUGAGAGGGAGAUCCCCCACACUGGUACUGAGACACGGACCAGACUCCUACGGGAGGCAGCAGUGAGGAAUAUUGGACAAUGGGCGCAAGCCUGAUCCAGCCAUGCCGCGUGCAGGAUGACGUCCUAUGGAUUGUAAACUGCUUUGUACGANAAGAAACAACAUUACGUGUAAUGUCUUGACGGUAUCGUAAGAAUAAGGUAU
RNAcentral lists this ribosomal RNA (460 nucleotides) under uncultured bacterium. RNAcentral's name for it is "bacterial SSU rRNA". It matches the Rfam family "Bacterial small subunit ribosomal RNA", at positions 28 to 494 of the family's 1533-position model. The record is from RNAcentral.